CGGGGUGCAGCAGGCGCGAAAACUUUACAAUGCCGGCAACGGCGAUAAGGGGACCUCGAGUGCCAGGUUACAAAUCUGGCUGUCGUGAUGCCUAAAAAGCAUUGCAUAGCAAGGGCCGGGCAAGACCGGUGCCAGCCGCCGCGGUAACACCGGCGGCUCGAGUGGUAACCGUUAUUAUUGGGUCUAAAGGGUCUGUAGCCGGCCGGAUAAGUCUCUUGGGAAAUCUGGCAGCUUAACUGUCAGGCUUUCAGGAGAUACUGUCUGGCUCGAGGCCGGGAGAGGUGAGAGGUACUUCAGGGGUAGGGGUGAAAUCUUGUAAUCCUUGAAGGACCACCAGUGGCGAAGGUGUCUCACCAGAACGGACCUGACGGCAAGGGACGAAAGCUAGGGGCACGAACCGGAUUAGAUACCCGGGUAGUCCCAGCCGUAAACGAUACUCGCUAGGUGUCGGCCACGGUGCGACCGUGGUCGGUGCCUUAGGGAAGCCGUGAAGCGAGCCACCUGGGAAGUACGGCCGCAAGGCUGAAACUUAAAGGAAUUGGCG
Molecule: ribosomal RNA, 544 nt
Filed under: uncultured archaeon
Lineage: Archaea
Description: bacterial SSU rRNA
Rfam family: Archaeal small subunit ribosomal RNA
Source: RNAcentral